AUUAAAAACCAAUGCCCUUCGGGGCUCUCUGGUGAUUCAUAACAACUUCUCGAAUCGCACGGCCUUGCGCCGGCGAUGGUUCAUUCAAAUUUCUGCCCUAUCAACUUUCGACGGCUGGGUCUUGGCCAGCCGUGGUGACAACGGGUAACGGAGGGUUAGGGCUCGACCCCGGAGAAGGAGCCUGAGAAACGGCUACUACAUCCAAGGAAGGCAGCAGGCGCGCAAAUUACCCAAUCCCGACACGGGGAGGUAGUGACAAUAAAUACUGAUACAGGGCUCUUUCGGGUCUUGUAAUUGGAAUGAGUACAAUUUAAAUCCCUUAACGAGGAACAAUUGGAGGGCAAGUCUGGUGCCAGCAGCCGCGGUAAUUCCAGCUCCAAUAGCGUAUAUUAAAGUUGUUGAGGUUAAAAAGCUCGUAGUUGAACCUUGGGCCUAGCCGGCCGGUCUGCCUCACCGCGUGCACUGGCUCGGCUGGGUCUUUCCUUCUGGAGAACCGCAUGCCCUUCACUGGGUGUGCC
RNAcentral lists this ribosomal RNA (518 nucleotides) under uncultured fungus. RNAcentral describes it as "SSU rRNA". It matches the Rfam family "Eukaryotic small subunit ribosomal RNA", at positions 214 to 732 of the family's 1831-position model. The record is from RNAcentral. Lineage: Eukaryota; Fungi.